UCCCCGAUAGCUCAGCGGUAGAGCACUCGACUGUUAAUCGAGCGGCCGUUGGUUCGAAUCCAACUCGGGGAGCCA
Molecule: transfer RNA, 75 nt
Filed under: Sphingomonas sp.
Lineage: Bacteria; Pseudomonadati; Pseudomonadota; Alphaproteobacteria; Sphingomonadales; Sphingomonadaceae
Also listed under: 7 other names
Description: tRNA-Asn
Rfam family: tRNA
About the family: Transfer RNA (tRNA) molecules are approximately 80 nucleotides in length. Their secondary structure includes four short double-helical elements and three loops (D, anti-codon, and T loops).
Source: RNAcentral